UACGUAGGGGGCAAGCGUUAUCCGGAUUUACUGGGUGUAAAGGGAGCGUAGACGGCAAUGCAAGUCUGGAGUGAAAGGCGGGGGCCCAACCCCCGGACUGCUCUGGAAACUGUAUAGCUGGAGUGCAGGAGAGGUAAGCGGAAUUCCUAGUGUAGCGGUGAAAUGCGUAGAUAUUAGGAGGAACACCAGUGGCGAAGGCGGCUUACUGGACUGUAACUGACGUUGAGGCUCGAAAGCGUGGGGAGCAAACAGG
Molecule: ribosomal RNA, 253 nt
Filed under: uncultured bacterium
Lineage: Bacteria
Description: partial 16S ribosomal RNA
Rfam family: Bacterial small subunit ribosomal RNA
Source: RNAcentral